CGGGGUGUAGCGCAGUCUGGUAGCGUACUUGCAUGGGGUGCAAGUGGUCGUGGGUUCAAAUCCCGACACUCCGA
Molecule: transfer RNA, 74 nt
Filed under: Bacteroidota bacterium
Lineage: Bacteria; Pseudomonadati; Bacteroidota
Description: tRNA-Pro
Rfam family: tRNA
About the family: Transfer RNA (tRNA) molecules are approximately 80 nucleotides in length. Their secondary structure includes four short double-helical elements and three loops (D, anti-codon, and T loops).
Source: RNAcentral